RNAcentral lists this ribosomal RNA (142 nucleotides) under uncultured eukaryote. Its description in RNAcentral is "partial 18S ribosomal RNA". It matches the Rfam family "Eukaryotic small subunit ribosomal RNA", at positions 1299 to 1458 of the family's 1831-position model. The record is from RNAcentral.
UGGUGGAGUGAUUUGUCUGGUUAAUUCCGUUAACGAACGAGACCUCGACCUGCUAAAUAGACCCGGGAAUCCAUCUGGAUUCCUCGGGGACUUCUUAGAGGGACUAUCGGUGUGUAGCCGAUGGAAGUUCGAGGCAAUAACA